Molecule: ribosomal RNA, 462 nt
Filed under: uncultured bacterium
Lineage: Bacteria
Description: partial 16S ribosomal RNA
Rfam family: Bacterial small subunit ribosomal RNA
Source: RNAcentral
GACGAACGCUGGCGGCGUGCUUAACACAUGCAAGUCGAGCGGUAAGGCCUUUCGGGGUACACGAGCGGCGAACGGGUGAGUAACACGUGGGUGAUCUGCCCUGCACUUCGGGAUAAGCCUGGGAAACUGGGUCUAAUACCGGAUAUGACCUCCUAUCGCAUGGUGGGUGGUGGAAAGAUUUAUCGGUGCAGGAUGGGCCCGCGGGCUAUCAGCUUGUUGGUGGGGUAAUGGCCUACCAAGGCGACGACGGGUAGCCGACCUGAGAGGGUGACCGGCCACACUGGGACUGAGACAAGGCCCAGACUCCUACGGGAGGCAGCAGUGGGGAAUAUUGCACAAUGGGCGAAAGCCUGAUGCAGCGACGCCGCGUGAGGGAUGACGGCCUUCGGGUUGUAAACCUCUUUCAGCAGGGACGAAGCGCAAGUGACGGUACCUGCAGAAGAAGCACCGGCUAACUACGUG